RNAcentral lists this ribosomal RNA (154 nucleotides) under Erysimum cheiri. Its description in RNAcentral is "5.8S ribosomal RNA". It matches the Rfam family "5.8S ribosomal RNA". Rfam says of the family: 5.8S ribosomal RNA (5.8S rRNA) is a component of the large subunit of the eukaryotic ribosome. It is transcribed by RNA polymerase I as part of the 45S precursor that also contains 18S and 28S rRNA. The record is from RNAcentral. RNAcentral also lists the same sequence under 1 other name. Lineage: Eukaryota; Viridiplantae; Streptophyta; Magnoliopsida; Brassicales; Brassicaceae.
AAACGACUCUCGGCAACGGAUAUCUCGGCUCUCGCAUCGAUGAAGAACGUAGCGAAAUGCGAUACUUGGUGUGAAUUGCAGAAUCCCGUGAACCAUCGAGUCUUUGAACGCAAGUUGCGCCCCAAGCCUUUUGGCCGAGGGCACGUCUGCCUGG